ACGCUCGACACCUACGGAAGGCAGCAGUGGGGAAUAUUGCACAAUGGAGGAAACUCUGAUGCAGCGAUGCCGCGUGAGGGAAGAAGGUUUUCGGAUUGUAAACCUCUGUCUUUGGGGACGAUAAUGACGGUACCCAAGGAGGAAGCUCCGGCUAACUACGUGCCACAGCCGCGGUAAUCUGAGCGGGCUGGCAAGGC
This 197-nucleotide ribosomal RNA is filed under the name uncultured bacterium. RNAcentral describes it as "partial 16S ribosomal RNA". It matches the Rfam family "Bacterial small subunit ribosomal RNA", at positions 326 to 539 of the family's 1533-position model. The record is from RNAcentral.